GACGAACGCUGGCGGCGUGCCUAAUACAUGCAAGUAGAACGCUGAAGGAGGAGCUUGCUUCUCUGGAUGAGUUGCGAACGGGUGAGUAACGCGUAGGUAACCUGCCUGGUAGCGGGGGAUAACUAUUGGAAACGAUAGCUAAUACCGCAUAAUAUUGACUAUUGCAUGAUAGUCAGUUGAAAGGUGCAACUGCACCGCUACCAGAUGGACCUGCGUUGUAUUAGCUAGUUGGUGGGGUAACGGCUCACCAAGGCGACGAUACAUAGCCGACCUGAGAGGGUGAUCGGCCACACUGGGACUGAGACACGGCCCAGACUCCUACGGGAGGCAGCAGUAGGGAAUCUUCGGCAAUGGACGGAAGUCUGACCGAGCAACGCCGCGGGAGUGAAGAAGGUUUUCGGAUCGUAAAGCUCUGUUGUAAGAGAAGAACGAGUGUGAGAGUGGAAAGCUCACACUGUGACGGUAUCUUACCAGAAAGGGACGGCUAACUACGUG
This 495-nucleotide ribosomal RNA is filed under the name uncultured bacterium. RNAcentral describes it as "partial 16S ribosomal RNA". It matches the Rfam family "Bacterial small subunit ribosomal RNA", at positions 28 to 507 of the family's 1533-position model. The record is from RNAcentral.